CCUUCCCUUUCCUGUCUCACUUCCCCACUCCUCUUCCUGGGUCGCCUCCCAAACAAACUACUUGGACCUGAAUCUCGUCCAGCCUUAUGUUCUGGUGUUAAAGAGUCUGUCUGGAAUUUACCCUGAGAACAAUAGGCUUUACCUUCCUCUGAUAAUUGGCAAAAGGUUCUGAAGCUCCCAGGCCAUCUGGAGUCCUUGUAAACUAGCAUACCUACAGGUAAAGAGACUGAAAGAAACUGUUUAAGAAACGAAAUGGAGCUUUUGCAGCUAUCUACUGCUUAAGAAAAUAAUGAGUGUUCAGCUGGUUUGCUCUCUCGGCUGUUUCUCCAGGACUGCCCCAGGAGCAGAGUCUCCAAAAGUGAGCAAAAUCAGCUACACAAAAUGGGACGUGCAAGUUACCCAUAUGUUUGUGUUGCACACAUUUUGCAUGAAAGGUAGAAAGUGCAAACAAAGAAAACUGGACACUCUUUGAAGUUACUCAACUGAUGACGACACCUCACUCUCUUCUCUACGUGGCUGGUGUUCCAUCUUUCCUCCCACAGACGCUGUGAGCAUGUCAGUACCAGUGGGGCUUUGCAGCCAUGAUACAAGGCUUUUCUUCUCUGUCAUGUGUACAGAGCCAUGUACCACCAUGGAACCAAUGUUCCAGCCAUGGUUCACUGUGUGGUUUCCUUCUUCAUAACUGCCACGACUAAAACAACACGUCAAAGCAAUAUUUUUUUCCUCUUUAUUUCUCCGGGGCAAUUUCUCAGUGAAUGUGCCUUUUUUAUUUCUUUUUCCUUUUUUUUUGAGACGGAAUCUCACUCUGUCGCCCGGACUGGACUGUAAUGGUGUGAUCUCUGCUCACUGCAACCUCCGCCUCCCGGGUUCAAGCGAUUCUCCUUCCUCAGCCUCCCGAGUAGCUGGGACUACAGGUGCGCGCCACCACACCCAGCUAAUUUUUUUGUAUUUUUAGUACGGAUAAGGUUUCACCAUGUUGGCCAGGCUGAUCUUGAACUCCUGACUUCAUGAUUUGCCCGCCUCGGCCUCCCAAAGUGCUGGGAUUACAGACGUGAGCCACUGCACCCUGCCGAAUGUACUUUUUUUUUUUUUAAACUCUAUCUUACUUCCUUCUCAUCACCUAAUUCAGAAUUCCUAUAAUCGUUGGUCGAGAGUCUAUUGCCUAGUGAUGUCAGAGGGUUCGCAGAAACCCCAGUGCCUUGGUAUCCACAAAUGUUUUUCUUUUAGUUAUGCUGAACUGGUGCUGCCUAAUAGGGCAGCCACUCACACAUACUUCAAUUUAAAUUAAUUAAAAUGACGUAAAAUUUAAAAUUCUUGUUUUCAGCUGUACAAGCCAUAUUUUGAUAGCCCCCUGUAGCUAAUGGCUACCAUAUUGAACAGCAAAGAUAUACGGUACUUACCCAGCAGUAUAGAAAGCUCAACCGGACAGUGCUACAACAGUUGCAGGUAAGCAAGCAAGGUAAGGAUAGUCCCAAUCAGAUAGAUGGCAUCUAUUUUGUGUGAAGCCUUGUGAGGUGGCUCACACCUGUAGUCCCAGCUACUUGGGAAGCUGAGGUGGGAGGAUCACUUGAGGUCAGGAGUUUGAGACCAGCCUGGGCAACAUAAUGAAACGAAAAUAAAAAAAUUUUUUUUUUCUGUGUGAAAU
Molecule: long non-coding RNA, 1645 nt
Filed under: Homo sapiens (human)
Lineage: Eukaryota; Metazoa; Chordata; Mammalia; Primates; Hominidae
Description: HSALNT0196058
Source: RNAcentral